RNAcentral lists this ribosomal RNA (49 nucleotides) under Waitea circinata. Its description in RNAcentral is "partial 28S ribosomal RNA". The record is from RNAcentral. Lineage: Eukaryota; Fungi; Basidiomycota; Agaricomycetes; Corticiales; Corticiaceae.
UCUGACCUCAAAUCAGGUAGGACUACCCGCUGAACUUAAGCAUAUCAAA